RNAcentral lists this long non-coding RNA (23115 nucleotides) under Gossypium barbadense (sea-island cotton). RNAcentral describes it as "long non-coding RNA (GBAR_LNC023237)". Lineage: Eukaryota; Viridiplantae; Streptophyta; Magnoliopsida; Malvales; Malvaceae. The record is from RNAcentral.
CUGAGGCAGUUUAGUUACACUCUACAUUUCUUCAUCGUUGACCUCAUUGCAAUUUGCAAAAGACAACCAUUAUUGUGCCACUGAACAUGGGCAGAUAUUUUAAGAGCACAAGUGAAACCAGAAGUGAUCCGAUUCAAAUUAGAGGUAUUGAUAAUGUUAAAGGGCAAUACUAAGAUCAUCCAAUUAGCAAUUAGUUUCUUGCAUGACCUAUUCCAAGGAAAUGUUGUUUGUCUACUCACCAAUUCCUAGCCCACGAUAUGGUGCUAAAACACCCAAUGUCAUGAUGCACACACGGAUGGCCACACCUUCCUUCUUUUGCAGCCGGCAAGCAAUUGAUCCGACACAGAUGUCACUGUAAUAUGCUGAGUUAGAAUGCAAAAGAGUGAUUGUUAGAACAAAAUACUAAUUUUUGGAUAACACAGGCUAUUCUCCAACUUACUCUCAUCAGGUCUCAACUCAUGUAAUAGCUAUGUAUAACAAUCACAUCAUCUGUUACGUGAAUAUGCAUGCAUCACCACAAACAAUUUAUUCCGAGCCAACAAAUUGAAUAAAAAAUAAUUAAUUAUAGCUUUCUAAUCAUCAAUGUGUAACAUAGUAAUUGAUAUCAUAUGAUGAAGCCACUAUGACAGGGACAUUACAAACAUGCUCUGCACAUUCAUAAGAUCAUAGAGUUAAAAGAGGAUAGAGUUGCUCCAAACUUCAAUUGAGUGUAUUUCUUAGAGCAUGACUUGAGGAUUAAGGAGAAAAUAAAACAAAUAUGCAGUUACCAAGACAGAAGGAAACGAUAAGAUAACUUCUCUCCAAGAAGUAACAGGUUUUGAAAUUUCUACAGUUUCUGUGAAAAGAUGUAGACCAUCAAGCUCAAUAGGUGCCCUUCAAUGCAAGGCAGCAAAUUUCAGAAUCAGGAAGUCUUUAGCCAGGGUUUUUAUGACUCUAAAGUUCGCCAGAAAACUUCAGGGAUAGCUACUACUACCCGCUAUUUAACAGUGUAAAAGCAAUGCAGGAUAAGGAAGGAUGUAUUAACGUUACACAAUAUGCAGAAGAUCAUGGAAGAAAAGGUGACUGGACCAACUAAGAUUGGUAACAUAAAUAUUCGAGUGUAAGGCAGCACAAGCACAACAGCAGAAGCAAAGAGUGUUUUUGAGGCAUGUUUUCAUGAGGAUGACUGGUGACACGCAUUUUUAGAAUUUAAUAAGCCCAGAAUAUUGACCAUUGAGACCAAAACACAAUAAAUAGAGCAAGCAAUUCAAUAUAGGUCGGGUUAUCUAACCUAAACUAUCUAAUCCAACAAGGAAUUGCUUCUACCAAUGAUCACAUGAGAAGACACUAAACUGAUAACCGAAAACAUGUUAACGGUAUCGAAGGUCACUCAUGUGUAGGUUGUAGUUUCAAGACAGCCAAGUUCAUCAUUCAGUAACUUGAAACAUCAAGGAUACAGUUUCUAGUCUUGGAGAAUCUAUACAUAUUAAACCAUUUUCCAAUCAUGUAUAAUCAAAUGCCAAUAUAAAUCAAACUAGCCCAUAAAAGGCCAUCAAUCUUCCGACUCAAAGAACCAAAAAGCCAAAAUCAAGCGCAGAAAUCAAAACCAACAAAAUAAAUUCCCAUAAUAGGAUACUAACUACAUACCCAGAGGGAAAGAGAACAACAAUAAAAUUCCCAAUAGAUGGCAUAUACUAAAGAACACAAAAGAAAAAAAAAACAGUGCAAAGAAAAUGCCAAACAACAUUGGACCAACCAAAAAGAGUUCAACAACUUUAAAAAGAAAAAAAAAAUGAAAACCCAGAAAAAGAUUAGAAAAAACGGAGCAAACCAAGCUUGGUGAAUUCGCCAGAAGCGAGAGCAUCGGCGUAGUACUUAUCGUUGUAACGAACAGGGAAGAGAGCUGUGUUGAGCUUCUUCAGCUGCAUCACGUUCUUGUCCCUCACUCCAUCAAGUGAUAUUGCUACUUCUCGCCCAGCCCCCAUUUCUUAACUCCUUUGCGAUCUAUUGGUCCAAUAAAACAAAAGAUUUGCAGAGGGGAUAUAAUAAUGGUGUGGUGAGGGAUUGUACAGACAGACUUAGAUUUCUUGUAUGUGACAAAAGAGGAAGGGUAGGUUGGCUUUUCAAUUUACAGCGACGGUGGAGGGAUUCGCUACUCAUGGAACUUGGGGUUUCUCGUUUCCCUGAGAAAGACCCAGCGAAGUGGAACCUCGAUUUUCCUGAGAAAGAAGAGAGCAAACGAAACAGCAGCCUGAGAAGAGAAGAUAUGCGAGGGUAAGAAGAUGAAGAACAAAAGAAGAAGGAAUGAAGAAGAAUGAGAUGGACUGAUGAAGAAGGAGACGGAAAAUGAUUUCAGGACCAAGAAAAUAAAAACACAGUGCAAAAGCGUGGACGGCAGGAUUCGAACCUGCGCGGGCAGAGCCCACAUGAUUUCUAGUCAUGCCCGAUAACCACUCCGGCACGUCCACUGAUUUUGUUGGUUUUUGUCAUUGUUUACUUAAUAUUGUAUUCUUUUGCAUACCACCACAACGUACAUUCAUUCUCUUUUUGAAUUUAAAAACAACCAUCUCAUUUAUCAUAAAUAUUUAAAAAUUCAUUUUUAAGAUUAUCUAAAAAUAAAAAUAUUACCAUCUCUUAAUUUUUUUAUAAAUUGGAAAUAAAAAAUCUUUUUUUUUGGUUUUAACUCUCAAUAUUUUGCUCUUCCUUUUAUAACUUUAGUUAUUUCAGUGUCAUGGUUGAACUGAUGAAGGCAGUCCAAAACAACAAAGGUUUACAAUUUGUUGGCUACUGUAUACAUUUGGUUUCCAUAAAUCUUGAGUCGAGUCGAGUUGAGUAGAAUUUUAAAAUUUUCGAAUAUUUUUUGGGGUCAUUUGUAUUUUAGGUUUACGUUUUCAAGUUAGGUCACUAUAAGUUUUAGUUAUUAUGUGUUUGAAGUGUUCCAAUUUUUGGUCUGUUAAAAUACGUCCGUCUCUGUACUCAGAAAAAAUUUGAAAUUUAAUCUUUGUACUUAAAAAUAUCAAAAUUAGAUUUUCUUAAUUUUUUUAUUUAAAAAUUUCAGUUUAGUCAUUAAUGUUAUUAGUAUUUUCCAUCAAAAUUUGCUAACUUGGUAUGUUAAUUAAACUAUCCUCAUAUGACACUGCAUAUGAUUGACAAAAAAUAAACAUAUUAAGUUGAAAAAUUUUGACAGAAAUUACAAACUACGAUAAUAAUUAUGAUUAGAAUUUUUAAAUUGAAAAAAAGGUAGGAUUAAAAUUUUAAAUUUUAUAGUGCAUGUGAAUAAAUCUCAAAUUUUAGAUAAGUAAAGGGAUGACCAACAUGACAGUUCUAAGAGAUUCCUCAUAUUUCUUCAACUUAUCAUCAUCUCCAAGUUUGUUAAAGAAAUCAGAAGAUGGAGCACAAAUUUUAUUAGCUUGAGAAGUGGAAGAUAAAGAUAUGAUAUUGCUCUUAGCAUGCUGUUGAAUUUGACCUUUGAGCAUAAAUCCAUGUACAAAUUCCUUGAUCUUUCAAUGCCUCAAUAGCUCCAAUGCAACUCAUGGUUUUAAUCGUUUUUGCUAUACUUUUUAGAUCAAAUGGCUAUUUUUUCUUAAGUAAAUGGUAAUGGUGGAUAUGAGGUUCUUAUAUAGUGACUUUAUGGGGAGGGGGGAAACUAGAGAUGGUAUUCAAAUAAAAAAAAUGGUUUUAAUUGUAUACUACAAUAGAGACAAUGAUAGUAAAGAAAUGAACAAAAUCACCAAAGAUAAGAUUUUGGGAUGGUUUGUUUUUGGUUUCUUUGGAUUUAGGGGAUGAACCCUUCACUAUGUACAUCCAAUUUAUUGGUUUCUAUUACAUAUUUCCAUGAAAAAUUGAAAUCCUAAUGUGACUUGAGAAGUGGAUUGGCUUGUUCUCCAUUUAUGUUCAAAUUCUUCCCAUGUUUUUUUGUUUUUGGGAUUUGAAGUUUUAGGUUCCAUUUGUUUGCCAGUAAAAUAUUUGUUUUUAGGCUCCAGAAAAUGAUUUCUGAAAAAUGAUUUACUUUUUUAGUGUUUGGAUGAAUCUGUGUAAAAUAUUUUUUAUUUUUUGGCAGAUUUCCUGAAAAUAUUUUCCGAAAAAGCUGUUUUUACAUGUAUUAAUAAAUUUAUAUAUAUAUUAAUAAAUUUAUAUUUUAAAUUAUUUUUACAUAUAUUGCAAUGAUUUGUUUAUAUAUAAAUAAAUCAAAUUAUUAUAAAAAUGUUUUGCUACAAGUACAUUAGUGAAAAUUGAAAAUAGUGAUCAACCCCUUAAAGGGUUGAAACAGGCCAAAACUCAACAGAUGCCGAAUAUCUUCCAAUACCUAAUUUAAUAUUCACAUAAACCAUACCAAUUGUAUCAAAUUCGGAGAAUUGUAGUGAUUGUAUUUUGCUGGAGCAACAAAAUCAUUUAAUGACAUUAACCGACAAUGGUCACAUUGACCAACGAAAGUGUUGAACAAGACUAACAAAAUUUCAGCUCAAAAGAUAAAAACCAAUCAUAGUUGGCAUCAUUAACGCCAUAUCUCAUGUCAUUCAUGCAUCACAGCAUCCUUAUCGUCAAAAUAAUUCCCAGAAGUAUAGGAAUUGAUCAAAUUCACUAAGAUAGCUGUAAGAGGCUAAUUUUGUACUGGGCUCCCCAAAAUAAUAACCGAAUCAAUAAAGCCAAAGGAUACAAUCGGUCGAAAACGAGCUAAAAAGGGCCAAAUUGAAAGACAAUCAUUAAAUUUUAGUCAAAUUAAAAAGAUGGAGAAAGCUAAGGAGUUCAAAUUUUGUUGACUUGGUAAAAGGUUAAAAAUAGGAAUAUAUGAUUUUUUUGUUGUUUUUAUUUUAUUUUAUUUUAUUUAGGCUAUUUUUAGUAAACUCCGUGUAUAUAAAUAGGGGUAUUUUGUUCUUUGAAAGGGGACUUGGAUGAAGACUUUUGUCUUCCUACUUCAAUUUGAAAUUGGAUUAUUCUCUCUUUUCCUAUCUCCAUUGGAAUUGAAUUAUUUUCUUUUCUCUUUUAAUUACGUGGGAAUUUUGUCAAUUUCAUCUCAAUUUAUUUGUUUUUUUUCUAAAUUCGUCCAAUUGUUUUUAGCCCUUCCCUUUUUUUAUUGUUUUGCAAUUAAGUUUUCAUUUUUUUUGCCCUAAAAUUUGUUUUGACUGCAUUUUGGUCCUGCUUGAGGUUGUGCGUUUUGGAGGGUGGGGAUUAUUUCCCUUUUGGUCCCUCUUUGUUAUUCGCAUGUUCAAAUUGGUCCAUUUCAUUUUAUUUAUUUUUUAUUUGCCCCAAAAUUUUGCUUUAAGGUUCGAGUUAAUCUUUUUUUUUCGUUAUUUUAUUAUCAAAUUAACUAAUUUAAUAUAUUAUUGCUAUUAUUAUUAUGUUUCUAUUUAUAUUUAUUUUGUUAUUCUAAUACUAUUAUUAUUUAUCUAAUUUUUAUUUAUCUAUUUAUAUUUCUACUAUUAUUAUAUUUCUAUUUAUUAUAUUUUUAUUUCUAUUUAUAUACUAAUAUUAUUUUCAUUAUUAUUUUUCUUAUAUAUGUUUUUUACUUUUUUUUUAUUUUAUAUUUUUUAUUAUCUAUUUAAACUUUUUAUAUAACGCUCAUUUCAAAUUUUUAUACAUUAUUUACUUUAAUAUUUUCACAUAUUAUGUACUUCAAACUUUUUUUUUACACAUUAUAUAUUUUGAAUUGUUUAUAUAUUUUCAUAUACAUUAUGUAUUUAUUUGUUAUUUGUGAUUCAUUAUUAUAACAUUUUGUUUAUGAAUUAUUACUUUGCGUUGUACAUUAUUAUUCCAUCGCAUUUUAUUCGUUUAAAAGGUCGUGUUUUAAUAUCGUUUAAGUUUUAAAAUCAUUUUAUUCAAAAGUUUUCAAAAUAAGGCAAUACUCAGUAUUUGGCAUCUUUGAGAAGAUUAUGCCCUAACUUGUUGGGUUCCAAUUUUCCUCGUUAAAUCUAAGUAACCGAGUACCCCUUUUUCAAUCAAAAGGCAUAAGUUUCAAAUACAAGCUUAUUCUCAGGAAUUCGAGGUGUUGUGUCCUAACUCACUGGAUAUGACAUUUUGUAUCUCAAGAUAAGGAUUUCUAAAAAUUAAAGGCAAUGUUCUAUGUUUGGAAAUCCGAGAAAUCGUGCCCUAACGUGUUGGGUUUCGAUUUUUCGUUGGACCAAAUAAUCCAAUAUCCUUUUGUAAUUUUCAAAUGUAUGAGCUUUUGAAAAUCAAGAAUUGAUCGUGGUUUCGAAGGUUUAAAGAAUCAUGUCCUAACGUGCUGGAUGUGAUAUUAUAUUCCUUCGAAACAAGAGCAUUUUAAUGUUCAAUUUGAGUUAUUCAAAUGCUUUAAAAGAAAUUGUAUUUCAAUUUUUUUUAAGAAAACUUUAGACAAUAGGACAUUAAUUAAUCAAUUGGUACCAAUUUUGGGCAUUACGAGGGUGCUAACCCUUCCUCGUGUGUAACCGACUCCCGAACCCUUUUUUUCUCAAAUUUUGUAGACCCAAAAUCAUUGUUUUAAUAAAUCAAAAUGUUUUAUUAAAAUGACCAAUCUCAAGGUGAUCCGAUCACACCUCAAAAAAAGAUCGGUGGCGACUCCAUUUUUGUUUUUAAGUCGACUCCUGUUUUUCAACAAAAAAAAUGGUAUCGAUAGCUUGGCGACUCCACUGGGGACCAAUAAGAGAGUUAAGCCGUAAAAUUGAUUAUUUUCUAUCCUUUUGUCAAAAAUUGAAAUUUUGAUUUGAAAAUCAUGAUUCUUUUGUUACAUUUGUUUAUGAUCCCUAUGUACAGAGAAGCUCAGGCUGCGAUAUCUAGGGCACUUAGUUUUCGUCUUACCCAUUUUGAAUUUGCUAUCCUUUGACUACUUUAUUCGUUUCAAAAUACACUUGCAAUAAAUUUCCUUUUUAAUUGCAUUUGCUAUCAUUGAUUAACUUAUUUGUUUCGAGCUAUGCUCUCGAUUAAUUUCCUUCUUGUCCAUUGUUAUGAUUUUUUUUCAAGCAUUUUACAUUGAAAUAACGAUUAGUGGACUAAUAGUACUUUCAUUAAAGGAGUUCCGCAUAUUACUCUAGAAGUUUCUAAAUAAUAUAAGAAUCUGAAACAGGACUAUUGUUUAGAACUCGCCAAGCUUAAGGGUUGGAAAUAUUAGAGAAAGAUGAUCAUCUCUUUGGAACUUUUAUUGUUUGAACAAGACAUUUCGUCAGUGAUACAACCUCGACAAAUAACGAGCAAGUCAACCCAAGUGUAAAAGGGGAUCAUUCUUGGGAAAAGAAAAAUGAUACUCUGCAUUCAUGCAAAUAUCAGACAUAUAUAUUUGAUCAUUACACCCAGGGAAUGGUGUAACAGAUUAAAUUGAUUGAAGAUGAUACAACUCCUAUACCUCUGAGUUGCAGCAGAAUGGAUGGAAGAAAUGAAAUGUUAUUCCUCUGAAGUUGCAGUGAGAGGUACAAAUUUUAUAUCUCAGAAGGUACAGUGAAAUAGACCCUGAAGUUGCAAUGGGGCAAACCAGUUGAGCAAAAAAGAUUGUUUCUGCGGGUUUUCUGUCAGAAAAUACCACCCGAGUAAAAAUGAUGUGAGCUUGCCUACGAACCAAAUGGAGAACGAACAAGAAGCCAUUAAGCUGCCCAUUGGUCCAAUAACGCGAGCUAGAGCUAAACGAUUCAAAGAUGCUAUUUUAGCAAUGGUGGAACGGGUUGAGGAAAAUGAUAGCAAGGAGUUUAAAAACGAGCUGAACAUAUUCAACUUCUUUAAAGCUGAAUUUCGUUCUAGCUAAUUAAUUUGCUGCUGAAAUUUUAGACCAUUUAAAUAAGCAUUUAAAUAAGUUUCAUUACAGCUUUUAAAUAUGUCUUAAUUUAUUACAAGUGUUUAAUAUGUUGAUUUGGUUGAAUUAAAGGUGUCUAGAUGUCAUUUAAUUUGUUUGAAUAUAUUACAUGAAUUAACUAUGUUCAGCCGAAUUAAUGUGUCUUGUUUAGUACAUAUUUAAUUCGGCUUAAUGUUAAUUAGUAUGUUCAUAUUAUGUUUUAAAUUAAUUCAGCUGAAUUGAGUUAAAUUAAUGAGGUUCAUUUGUUUUAUUUAGGUUCAGCCGAAUGUGGAAGAUGCAUGGGAAAGGUUGGCCGAAUGUUGUGUGCAAGAUGCAUGCAUGUUGGAUUCAAUGCACCUAAUGAUACAUGCAUGAACUACAUUAAAAAUGAUGUGCUGAUUAUUGAAGUUCUCUAAGUGACCAUUCGGCUAAAGAGAUAGUUUUUCAAGCUGCCAUUAUUUCCUUCACAUUGCUAGAUACAUUUUGGCCAUUCGGUUCUUGGUGUUCACAUUUUAAGGCUCUUCAAAACCGUCCAUUCACACCUAAUGUGGCUGUUCAAGUGCCCUCUUUAUUAUUGAUAAUUUUUCAGCAAGAGUUGCCUAUUGAAUGAUCAUUUAAGCUCAUCAGCUGAAUGUAGCUGUUACAUGCAUUCCCAAGAUUCAUUUGCUUAAUAUGGAAGCUUCAUGUAUGGUCACUAUUCAGCCGAACCUACAUUGGCCAUUUUUGUUCAAUGUUUACUUAGAAACUAAGUCUAGAAUAUGUCCAUUCGGCUACUAGGCAUUAGGCUAUAAAUAGUUACUCAUUUUCUUGUAAAAGGACUUUUGACAAAUUUCUGAAUGAAAUAUCAUUUUAGUGAGGCAAUUCACUCUCUUUAUUCUCCAAAGCUCAAAUUGACUUAUCUUCAACAAGUGGCGUCAAUCUGACUUUGUUUCGAACUUAUCACCAUUGGUGUGGCGUUCUUCAUACCGUAGGUUCCUAUUUUGCUAAAUAGAGGGUCUCGGUUUUAUCCCAAAUCCUUUCUUUCUUUGAAACCUUAAGCCUCGGGUCCUUAUUUGCUAAUAAGGGUUCGACUUGUUUUCAUUGAAAUAUCCAGCAAACAACACUCCAUCAAACUCCCUUGUUUCCCAAAGCCAUUUAAUUUUAAACACCAAGACUUGAAUUUAUUUCAAGGCCGACACUACCUAAUUUCGAUCGGGAAAUAUUACGACUCGUUAUUUCAUACGAAACGAGCUCGUAUCAAAAAAGGCAGCAUAAUACGACAGUGAUAAAACUCUGAUGAAUAACGAGUGAUGACACUUUAAACUUUUAAAAAAAGGAAUCAUUCUCAUGACAUUUCUACAUUCAUAUCAUUCAUAGCACAUUUGGUUAGGAGCAUCUGAUUUAUUUUGAUCAUAGUAUCCAAAUCAUUUGGCAUAAACAUAGGCAUAUGGAACCGAGUCUACAGGGUAUGUUCCCUAGAGAACAGUGUAGCGACAUCGGUGAAUUUAAGUUUUAUCUUCUUAAGGUAGCAAGGAAGCAGACUAGAAAUUACAGAUCUUAUCUCCAUGUAUCGACUAUGGAGCAGAUCAAAAAUGGCGAGUCUUGUCUCCAUGUAUCAGCUAUGGAGCAGAUCUUAGCCACUGGUCUUAUCUCUCUGAGGUAGUAGGAGAGUAGGUUGAAGAUACGAGCCUUAAUCUCUUAAGCAGUAGGAUAAUAGGCUGAAAAUUACAAAUCUUAUCUCCAUGUAUCGGCUAUGGAGCAGAUCAAAAAUCAUGAGUCUUAUCUCCAUGUAUCGACUAUGGAGCAGAUUUUAGCCACCAGCAUUAUCUCUCUAAUGUAGCAAGAGAGCAGGUUGAAGAUACAAGUCUUAUCUUCCUGAGGUAGCAAGGAAGCAGACUAAAAAUUACAGAUCUUAUCUCCAUGUAUCGACUAUGGAGCAGAUAAAAAAUGGCGAGUCUUAUCUCCAUGUAUCGGCUAUGGAGCAGAUUUUAGCCACUGGCCUUAUCUCUAUGAGGUAGCAGGAGAGCAGGUUGAAGACACCGACUUUAUCUUCCUGAGGUAGCAAGGAAGCAGACUGAAAAUUACAGAUCUUAUUUCCAUGUAUCAGCUAUGGAGUAGAUCGAAAAUGGUGAGUCUUAUCUCCAUGUAUCAGCUAUGGAGCAGAUUUUAGCCAACAGCCUUAUCUCUCUUAGGUAGCAAGAGAGCAGGUUGAAGAUACAAGUCUUAUCUUCUUAAGGUAGGAAGGAAGCAGACUGAAAGUUAUAGAUCUUAUCUCCAUGUAUUGGCUAUGUAGCAGAUCAGAAAUGGCUAUGGAGCAGAUCGAAAAUGGCGAGUCUUAUCUCCAUGUAUCGACUAUAGAGCAGAUUUUAGCCACCAGCCCUAUCUCUCUGAGGUAGCAAGAGAGCAGGUUGAAGACACCGGCUUUAUCUUCUUAAGGUAGCAAGGAAGCAGACUGAAAAUUACAGAUAUUAUCUCUAUGUAUCGGCUAUGGAGCAGAUUGAAAAUGGCGAGUCUUAUCUCCAUGUAUCGACUAUGGAGCAGAUUUUAGCCACCGGCGUUAUCUCUCUGAGGUAGCAAGAGAGCCGGUGGAAGAUACAAGUCUUAUCUUCCUGAGGUAGCAAGGAAGUAGACUGAAAAUUACAGAUCUUAUCUCUAUGUAUCGGCUAUGGAACAGAUUUUAGCCACCUGCCUUAUCUCUCUGAGAUAGCAAGAAAGCAAGUCGAAGAUACAACUCUUAUCGUCCUGAGGUAGCAAAGAAGCAGACUGAAAAUUUCAGAUAUUAUCUCCCUAAGCAGUAGUGGAGCAGAUCGAAGACGAUGAGCCUUAUUCCCCUAAGCAGUAAAGUAACAGGCUGAAGAUUAUAGAUCUUAUCUCCUUAAGUAGUAGUGGAGCGGAUUGAAGACAGUGAGCCUUAACCCCCUAAGUAGUAGGGUAACAGGCUGAAAAUUACAGAUCUUAUCUCCUUAAGCAGUAGUGGAGCAGAUCGAAGACAGUGAGCCUUAACCCCCAUAAGCAGUAGAGUAAUAGGCUGAAAAUUUCAGAUCUUAUUUCCCUAAGCAGUAGUGGAGCAAAUCGAAGACAGUGAGCCUUAACUCCCUAAGCAGUAGGGUAACAGGCUGAAAAUUACAGAUCUUAUCUCCCUAAGCAGUAGUGGAGCAGAUCAAAGACAGUGAGCCUUAUCCCCCUAAGCAGUAGGGAAACAGGCUUGAAAUUACAGAUCAUAUCUCCCUAAGCAGUAGUGGCUCAAAUUGAAACGAAAAUUCUUAUACCCUAUAGGAUGCAGUGGGUUAAAGCGGGGCUACCUGAAGAAAGGAAGAAAACGAGACUCAACAGGCCCAGGCCAAAUUGGUCAUUUUAUAGUCUUUGCUCCAUUCUCAUAACACAACAAUGAGCAAAGAGGGGCAGCUGUAAUAGGCUAAUUUUGGCCUGGGCCCCCUAAAAAUAAUAACCGAAUCAAUAAAGCCAAAGGAUGCAAUAGGUCGAAAACGAGCCAAAAAUGACCAAAUUGAAAGACAAUAAUUAAAUUGUGGCCAAAUCAAAAAGAUGGAGAAAGCUAAGGAGUUCAAAAUUUGUUGACUUCGUAAAAGGCUAAAAAUAGGAAGAUAUGACUUUUUUUUUGCUUUGCUUUUAUUUUAUUUUAUUUAGGCUAUUUUUAGUAAACCCCGUGUAUAUAAAUAGGGAUAUUUUAUUCUUUGAAGGGGGACUUGGACGAGGACUUUCGUAUUCUUACUUCAGUUUGGAAUUGGAUUAUUCUCUCUUUUCCUAUUUCCAUUGGAAUUGAAUUAUUUUCUUUUCUCUUUCAAUUACGUGGAAAUUUUGUCCAUUUCAUCUCAAUUUCUUUAUUUUUUCUAAAUUCGUCCAAUUGUUUUUAGGCCUUCCGUUUUUUUAUUGUUUUGCACUUAAGUUUUCAUUUUUUUGUCCUAAAAUUUGUUUUGACUGCAUUUUGGUCCUCCUUGAAGCUGUGCGUUUUGGAGGGUAGGGAUUAUUUCCCUUUUGGUCCCUCCUUGUUAUUCACAUGUUCAAAUUGGUCCAUUUCCUUUUAUUUAUUUUUGAUUUGCCCCAAAAUUUUGUUAAUCUUUUUUUAUUUUCGUUAUUUUAUUAUCAAAUUAACUAAUUUAAUAUUUUAUUGCUAUUAUUAUUAUGUUUCUAUUUAUAUUUAUUUUUUAUUCUAAUAGUAUUAUUAUUUAUCUAAUUUUUAUUUAUCUAUUUAUAUUUCUACUAUUAUUAUAUUUCUAUUUAUUAUAUUUUUAUUUCUAUUUAUAUACUAACAUUAUUUUCAUUAUUAUUUUUCUUAUAUAUGUUUUUUACUUUUGUUAUUAACAUUCUAUUUAUUUAUUUAUUUAUUUAUUUAUUUUACAUUUUUUGUUAUUAUCUAUUUAAACUUUUUAUAUAACGCUCAAUUCAAAUUUUUAUACAUUAUUUACUUUAAUAUUUUCAUAUAUUAUGUAUUUCAAAAUUUUUUUUACACAUUAAAUAUUUUGAAUUGUUUAUAUAUUUUCAUAUACAUUAUGUAUUUGUUUGUUAUUUGUGAUUCAUUAUUAUAACAUUUUGUUUAUGAAUUAUUACUUUGCGUUGUACAUUAUUUUUCCAUCGCAUUUUAUUCGUUUAAAAGGUCGUGUUUUAAUAUCGUUUAAGUUUUAAAAUCAUUUUAUUCAAAAGUUUUCAAAAUAAGGCAAUACUCGGUAUUUGGCAUUUUCGAGAAUAUUGUGUCCUAACUUACUGGGUUGCAAUUUUCCUCGUUGAAUCUCAGUAACUGAGUACCCAUUUUUCAAUCAAAACGCAUAAGUUUCAAAUACAAGCUUAUUCUUAGGAAUUUGAGGUGUUGUGUCCUAACUUACUGGAUAAGACAUUUUGUAUCUCAAGAUAAGGAUUUCUAAAAAUAAAGGCACUGUUCUAUGUUUGGAAAUCCAAGAAAUCGUGCCCUAACGUGUUGGAUUUCGGUUUUUUGUUAGACCAAAUAAUCGAAUAUCCUUUUGUAAUUUUCAAAUGUAUGAGCUUUUGAAAAUUUCAGCUCAAAAGAUAAAAACCGAUCAUAACUGGCAUUAUUAACGCCAUAUCUCAUGUCAUUCAUGCAUCACAGCAUCCUUAUCAUCAAAAUAAUUCCCACAAGCAUAGGAAUUGAUCAAAUUCACUAAGAUAACAAUAACCAAUUCCUCUAGAUAACAUUACCAGCUUUUAAUUGUUAUUUCUUCACUUGUGAGAACAAAGCAGUCUGGGAGGGUCAAUGUUUGUGUAAUACUUCUUGAUUGUCUCUGUGAUUUCAAAUCCAAAUUUUAAAAUUGUCGAAUUUUUUUGGGGUCAUUUGUAUUUUAGGUUUACAUUUUCAGGUUAGGUCAUUAUAAGUUUUAGUUAUUAUGUGUUUAAAGUGUUCCAAUUUCUAGUCUGUUAAAAUACGUCCGUCUCUGUACUCAGACAAAAUUUGAAAUUUAAUCUUUGUACUUAAAAAUAUCAAAAUUAGAUUUUCUUAAUUUUUUUUAUUUAAAAUUUUCAGUUUAGUCAUUAAUGUUAUUAGUAUUUUCCAUCAAAAUUUGCUUGGUAUGUUAAUUAAACUAUCCUCAUAUGACACUGUAUAUGAUUGACAAAAAAUAAACAUAUUAAGUUGACAAAUUUUGACAGAAAUUACAAACUACGAUAAUAAUUAUGAUUAGAAUUUUUAAAUUGAAAAAAAAGUAGGAUUAAAAUUUUAAAUUAUAAAGUACAUGUGAAUAAAUCUCAAAUUUUAGAUAAGUAAAGGGAUGACCAACAUGGCAGUUCUAACUUCUAAGAGAUUCCUCAUAUUUCUUCAACUUAUCAUCUCCAAGUUUGUUAAACAAAUCAAAAGAUGGAGCACAAAUUUUAUUAGCUUGAAAAGUGGAAGAUGAAGAUCUGAUAUUGUUCUUAGCAUGCUGUUGAAUUUGACCUUUGAGCAUAAAUCCAUGUACAAAUUCCUUGAUCUUUCAAUGCCUCAAUAGCUCCAAUGCUAGCUGCUGCAAUCCAAGCUCUUGUUGAACAACUCAUGGUUUUAAUCCUUUUUGCUAUACUUGUAAUGCCCCUAACCGGAAUCCAUCACUGGAAUAGAGUUACAGAGCAUUGCCAGAGUUACCGAUUUAUUUAUCAGAUAUUUUAUUAUUUCAUCUAAUAUUCAUAUUUGGAACCAAUUAAAAUCAAAUAUAUUGUCCCUUAAACGUACUUAUUUUUCUCGAUAUGUUUUACUUAAAUUUAUUACUCGUCUCACUAUACUUAAUUUCCUUGUAUCAACGUAUCAAAGAUAAUCACAUAUUUACAUGUCAUGAUAAAUAUCAUUCUCUUGCCAUUUCAUCAUAAACAUAAAUCAGGUAAUUCAUUAUAUCGAAAAUACAAUUCAAGUUACACUAACUUACCUUGUUGGUUGUUUAUAUUUAUAAUUUCAUUAAUCCGAUAUAUUUUCUUUUCCACGCUCAAGUCUCGUAUUCGAGUCAUCCAAAUAUUUAUAAAUAAAUUUGAUCGUCGUUUUCAUUUAUUUCAUGUUCUAUUACGUUCAAUUAAUACUCAAAACAAAAUUACCAUUUUACCCUAAAACUUUUAAUUAAUGACGAUUUCAUCCUUAGGCUCAAAAAAAUAAAAUUCUUGCAAUUUAAUCCUUAUUUCCAGCCGUUAUUCUCAUACAAAUUGAUAACAACCCAUGAAUUCUAUAAAAUAUCAGAAUUUUCCAUAAUUUCAACACUUUUCAAUUUAAUCCGUAAAACAUGUUUUUCCCGAUCUUAAACUAAAUUAAUAAUUUUUGUUCAAUUUUGCAAUUUUAAAUAAUAAAAUAAUCCAUUUCAUGCAAAUUGGUCAUUUCUAACAUUUUUACAAAAUUGUCCAUAAAGUUUUGAUUUUAUUCAAUUUAGUCCCUGAGCCUAAAACAUGAUUUUCCAAAGUCAGAAUAGGGGAACCCAAAAUCAUUCUGAUCUUGUCUAACUAAAUUUGUUAUAUCUCAAAAUUUACAAUUUCAUUGCUUACACCGUUUCUUCUAUGAAAAACUAGACUCAAUAAAAUUUGAUUUCAUAUUUUAUUCAACUUCUAAUUCAAUUUUCACAAUUUUUGAUGAUUUUUCAAAAUUAGACCACUGCUGCUGUCCAAAACUAUUUUAGUGCAAGAUAUUAAUUACCAUGUUUAUAACACUCUUAUUUUCUUUCUCUACACUAUUUCUCAUCACUUUCUCUUAUUUUCUCUACACUAACAUAUCAAGUACAUAGGACCAUAUGUAAGGAAACUCUACAUUAACAUUAAUCUCAUGCUUUUUCAAUAAUAUCAAACUUAAAAAUAUAUUGAAAUCAUGAUGUUCUUACCUUGUUCUAUUGAUUUCAAUCUUCAUCUUGAUUUUCUCUCUCCUUCAGCUUCCAUUUUUUGAAUCCAACUUGAUAUUCUAACUUCUCAUAGUCUCGUUAACAUUUUUCUCUCUUGGUAGCUAUAGAAAUUCUUUUAAUUUUUAGGUGAAAAUGAUGAAUAUUUAGUAGAAGUACCAAAUUAUAAAGAAAAGAAAAUUUUCUUUCUUUUCUUCUCUUCCAACGUUGGCUGCAUGGAAAGAUGGAUGGUGUUGUCCCCUCUCUUUUUUUUUUCUUUCCAUACAUAUAUAUAUACUAAAUAAAAUAAUAAAAUAAUAAUAAACAUCUUAUUAAAAUAUUAAAUAAAUAAUAAUUAUCUAAUUAAAAAAUUAUAAAAUAUCACAAACAUCAUCAUUACUUUCUAGAUUUCUCUCUCUUCCAAUUAACCAUUUUGCCCUUUGUGAUCUUUUAAAAUUUCAUUAUUGAGUCAUCACUUAAUUUGGUAAAAUUGCAAUUCAGUCCCUCGUAAUUCUUCACCUAUUCAAUUUGGUCCUAAUUCAUCAAUUUUCUUUGGUUUCUAGAUCAUUCCACCCUUAAAAUAUUUUCACUAUUAGUCCUUUAACUUUUUCAUAUUUACACUUUAACCCCUUAAAUUUUGAGUAUUUACUCUUGGGUAACAAAACUUUUCUCACUUUUAAAAUUUAGUCCUUUCUUCAAUUAAUAUGUCAUAAUAUACUUUCCAAUGACAUAACUCAAAUUUUCUCUUCUUGUCACUUUAUUUUCUUAUUUUACUAAAUAAAUGAUAAUAUCUUACUCUAAAAAAUUUCAGGGUGUUACAUUUCUCUCCCCCUUAAAAGAAAUUUUGUCCUCGAAAUUUUCUUGUUUUCUUUUGAUCAUGAACUUCAUUAUUUUCAUAAUUCUAUAGCUCCUUUGUGCACAUAUUUAUCGAGUUUAUCAUUUAUAUCCAUUCUCUAUCCUUUCAUUUCACAAUUUAUUUUUAAUUCAAUAUUGUGAACAUGCCUUAUAAUGAAAAUUGCUUACCUUUUUAUAAGAGGCCCAAUAGAUUAAACAGAACACUUAGGAUAUACGGAACAGAUAUAGAAGUGUAUUAUUAUGCACUAUUAAUCAAAGAGCACUUGGCGAGUACCAAUGUGCUAUUAUCAAAUGAUGCACUAGAGUCUCUUAAUAGUAUACCACUAAUAUCUUAGUAGAUCUAAUCUCAUCUACUUAGGCAAAUUACAUUAUGCACGCAUAUCACUUUUACAUUUUUAGAAUAAUGCUUUUACAUACUUUACAAUUUAAUCAUUGUGCUAAUAACAUGUAUGUUUAUAUCUUCUCUUUCUUUAAUACAUGUAAUAUAUUUCAAAAUUCACUAAUAAUCUUUAUCAUGUACUUCAUAUAUCACUUUCUAAGUCCAAUUUCACUUUCAAUUCAUUCACAACUCAAUUUAAUUUCCAUUCAAUUCAACAAUAACACUACCUCAUACUUCUCUUACCAUAUACAUAAUUUAAAUUUAACAUUUAAUAAUAAUAAAUAAUUUGAUUUAUAUUAAAACAACCGUACGCUGAUUAUGUCUAUACUCAAUGGUAUUACCAUAAUUCAAAUUAUAAAAACUAUAAUAAAUAAUAGACAUCAAACAUGUAACAAUAUAAGUCAUAUGUGUUAAUUUAUGUUUUAAUUUCAUAUCUCAACCAAAACACACCAGAAUAAUCAUGUAAUCCUCCCAAACACACCAGAAUCACAUAGUCCUCCUAUCCGUAUCCGUUGCCGGAAUAGGGUACGAGGCAUUACUAGGAUUUAUAUAUCAUUUAACAAAAAUUUCAAUUAAAUACUUACUGUUUCUUCAUAAGUGUAUAUCGUUCAUUUCAUUAUAUCAAUAUUUCAUGUACCAUCAUUUCCAUAUAUUUUACGUAUAUUUAUUCCGGUGAUAGUUCAAAUCAAACUUAACAUAAAUUAUAUUCCUUGGACUUAGACUUAUUUCAUUUAUCUAUCUUCAUAAUUAUUUCAUGCAACUAUUUUGUACAUAUAUUUUCAUAUGACCAGUUCCUGUAAACAUGUCACACAACCAUUUUGUAUAACCAAUUCAUAUAACCAUUUGUCAUCUGGUACAUAUUACCUGAAUAUUAGUUGUUCAACAGAUGUCUUGGCGUCUCUCAUCCACGAUCUUAUUUAUCUUCGACAUGAUGCUAUAGUAUCUUUCAACUAUGGUCUUACUCAUUUUCUGUCAAGUUUCCAUGGUAUCUUUCAACCAUGGUCUUCAUUUCCCCGUCAUGUUGUCAUGGUAUCUUUCAACCAUGGUUUUAUUCAUUUCAUGUCAUGUUACCAUAGUAUCUUUCAACCAUGGUCUUACACAUUUCAUAUCACGUUGUCAUGGUAUCUUUCAACCAUGGUCUUACACAUUUGAAUCGCGAUGCCAUAGCGUCUUUCAGUUAUGGUCUUACUUAUUUCUGGUAUGACGCCAUAGUCCAACUAUGGUCUUACAUGUGUAUUGCCAUGGCCUAGCCAUGGUCUUACACUCGUGGUGUCAUAUCCCAGAUAUGGUCUUAUCAUCAGGAUGCCAUAGCCUAGCUAUAGUUUUUUACAUAUAUUGUCAUGGCCCAGCCAUAGUCUUAUCCGUCAAUUCAUCACUGAUCACUGAAUGGUCAUACUCAAUUCAGCGUUCUACUCCAUUUGAACUUUUGAUCUGAUUUCCAUAAUUUAACAAUAUUCAUAAUUCAAUAGCAAACAUAUGAAAUAAUACAUUAUAUAAGUCAUAAUUUAGCAAAUAAUCAUGAAAGUUCAAUCAUAUAAACUUACCUGGCUAAAUUGCAGAAAUACUAAAAUUUAAGGGCAUUUUAGAAAUUUUCUGUUUUUAUCUAUUUUCCUCCCAAUAUUUAUCUAAAUUGAUAAUUUCAUUCAAUUUAUUAAUUUAAAUAAUAAAACAAUUCAUUUCAAAUUUCACUUUCCAACAACAUAUUAUCAAAUAUUUAUCUCAAUUUUAUUCAAUUCAAUAUUGAUGCUUACCUUAAAUUUUUUUACUUACUAUACACAUAAAUCUAAAUAUAACAUUUAUUCAUACAUUUAUGAGUUCGGACUUAUCAUAAUCAUCUUUUACUCAUAUACUUGAGUAUCGUUUUCAACAUUAUCAGAAUUAACUCGGUUGGGAAACAUCUCUAUCUUUAAGUAAAACAAAUCUCAUCAGAGUCAGAAGAUAUCACACUAUCACAGGUUAUGUAAUGUAUUUCUAGGCUUCACAUUUCACAUGUGCUACAUUUGGUCCGAGAACCGACUAAAUGUGCAGAUUUCAGUAUUCUCUAACCAGAUUUCAUUUCUUUUCAGAAUCAUUUUCAGCUGUAAUUUUCUCAAUUCUUCUACACUAUAUGUGCAGAUUAUUAACAACAGAUAACUUACCUGUUCAGACAAACUCUGUACCUUGAAGCACUUUGGGAACCGAUUGAGAAACAUGAGAGGUAAAUAUCGUAACAGAUACAGUUUCUUCUAUUCACUGAAGAGCAUCAGUUAUAAUUCUAAACAGUUACGUAUUAUCUCUUUCUCUAUUAUUUCAUUGUUAAACAUUCAGUGGUUCGUUACUCAUUAAAUUAAUAUUUAAUGUUGUCGAUUCAGUUUUCAUCUAGUUCACGAGACUCUUUGUCUCCAGUAUAUAUUUCAUGACCAAUACUAUCGAUAUGUUCAUCUAACAUUUUCAACUAUAAAACAGAAACAAACAAAUAUAUCAGCAUCCGAUCCCUAUUCAAUUUUGACUCAACUAUGGCAUGUACCUCUAGACUCAAUUCCGAGCUCGAUUUAGUUCGAGAUUCGGUUAAACCUGAAUAGCUCUGAUACCACUAAAUGUAACGCCCCUAACCCGAAUCCGUCACCUGAAUAGAGUUAUGGAGCAUUACCGGAGUUACCAAUUUAUUUAUCAGAUAUUUUAUUAUUUCAUCUAAUAUUCAUAUUUGAACCAAUUAAAAUCAAACAUAUUGUCCCUUAAACGUACUUAUUUUUCUUGAUAUGUUUUACUUGAAUUUAUUACUCGUCUCACUAUACUUAAUUUCCUUGUAUCAACGUAUCAAAGAUAAUCAAAUAUUUACAUGUCAUGAUAAAUAUCAUUCUCUUGCAAUUUCAUCAUAAACAUAAAUCAGGUAAUUCAUUAUAUCGAAAAUACAAUUCAAGUUACACUAACUUACCUCGUUGCUUGUUCAUAUUUAUAAUUUCAUUAAUCUAAUAUCUUUUCUUUUCCACGUUCAAGUCUCGUAUUCGAGUCAUCUGAAUCUUUAUAAAUAAAUUUGAUCGUUGUUUUUAUUUAUUUCAUGUUCUAAUACGUUCAAUUAGUACUCUAAACAAAAUUACCAUUUUACCCCUAAACUUUUAAUUAAUGAAGAUUUCAUCCUUAGGCUCAAAAAAAUAAAAUUCUUACAAUUUAAUCCUUAUUUUCAGCCGUUAUUCUCAUACAAAUUGAUAACAACCCAUGGAUUCUAUAAAAUAUCAGAAUUUUCCAUAAUUUCAACACUUUUCAAUUCAAUCCUUAAAACAUGUUUUUUCCAAUCUUGAACUAAAUUAAUAAUUUUUGUUCAAUUUUGCACUUUUAAAUAAUAAAAUAAUUCAUUUCAUGCAAAUUGGUCAUUUCUAACAUUUUACAAAAUUUUCCACCUGAGCCUAAAACAUGCAAAUUACCCAUGCUAGCUGAAUAUUCAUACAUAUUUUCCUCCUCCUCCUCCUCUCCAUUCCACAUCCUUAAUUUACUUAACUUGCAAUAAAUAACAUUAUCAAUAAUUUCACUAUUUACUUAUAUGUAUAUUCAAAACAGUCCACUUGAGUCAUAGUCACUAAACUAUUUAUAUCUUGAGCUACAGAACUCAAAAUUAAGAUCCUCGAGCAAGUAGGGCAAGUCGUCAUAACUUUGAUAGAACAGCUGCUUAAUCUCAUCAUCCCAAUGAGCCCAUAUAUCCCUCAAUUCCUGGAACUCAUUUUAGGUUACAUUGAUGCGAUUGAAGUCCAACAACCCUGAUGUAUACCCCUCAGCUAGGCUAUCCCUUUUCUCAAGUUGCAUCUUCUCUGACCACAUACGGACAGCCGCAUUAUCCUCUACUUUAUCAAGGAAUUCGUUCUCCAUAACAAGCUUUCUAAUGUAGCAACCGAACAGAAAUCGACACCUCUUUAAUAUGAAAUGAAUUGCAAACAUAACCACAACAAAACACAACAAGUUAGUACCGAAAAAUAAAAAUCAAAGCAAAUAGAAAAUAAUCAAACACCUAACUGGGUAAUCGUUAGGGUUCAACAUAGCUCUACCUAGGGCGGGCUCCUAGAGUUCACUAUAUAUGGAUCAGUUCUAAGAAAAGGGUACUUGAACCAGCAGAUUCCUCAACCCUUACCCAUUAUAGGCUCAUGUGGAUCGAGUUCGAUUCAGGGGAAUACAUUUUCCUAUGGCCAUGCAGAGGUGAAAACCUCACGAAGACAUAGGUAUAGAUGUAUGCUGGAAGCAGUCCACUAGCCCAUGCGGAGGUGAAAACCUCACGAAGGCAUAAUUUCUCACUCCCACCUAAAAGGUGUGACCACAACGGUCAUGCAGUGCAAUUCGAGGGGACAUAAAAACUCCAACACAAAAACAUGAAUAAGAUGAUGAAAACCAUAACACCAAUUAAAAGGAUCGUAUGUUAAAAAUAAAAUUUUUAAUUUUCGACAAAAAGACAGAAAAUAAUCAAUUUUAAGGAUUGACUCUAGGGCUUGUUGUUUCUGAAAACGAUUUGGGUCCUUGGGCUUGUGUAACCAAGUAUUGUGCCAUUGCAAAGUUUUGGGUCUGGUGUAACUAGAUUUGGACUGUUGUUUUGUUUUAUUUUUCUGUAUAUGUAUAGGCCCAGGCUAAAAAUUGGGUCUACAGGGGUAAUUUAUAUUUUAGGUUUACAUUUUCAGGUUAGGUCAUUAUAAGUUUUAGUUAUUAUGUGUUUGAAGUGUUCCAAUUUCUAGUCUGUUAAAAUACGUCAGUCUCUGUACUCAGACAAAAUUUGAAAUUUAAUCUCUGUACUUAAAAAUAUCAAAAUUAGAUUUUCUUAAUUUUUUUAUUUAAAAAUUUCAGUUUAGUCAUUAAUGUUAUUAGUAUUUUCCAUCAAAAUUUGCUAACUUGGUAUGUUAAUUAUUAAACUAUCCUCAUAUAACACUGCAUAUGAUUGACAAAAAAUAAACAUAUUAAGUUGACAAAUUUUGAUAGAAAUUAUAAACUACGAUAAUAAUUGUGAUUAGAAUUUUUAAAUUGAAAAAAAAGUAGGAUUAAAAUUUUAAAUUUUAAAGUACAUGUGAAUAAAUCUCAAAUUUUAGAUAAGUAAAUGGAUGACCAACAUGACAGUUCUAACAUCUAAGAGAUUCCUAUUAUUUAUUCAACUUAUCAUCAUCUCCAAGUUUGUUAAACAAAUCAGAAGAUGCAGUACAAAUUUUAUUAGCUUGAGAAGUGGAAGAUGAAGAUCUGAUAUUGUUCUUAGCAUGCUGUUGAAUUUGACCUUUGAGCAUAAAUCCAUGUACAAAUUCCUUGAUCUUUCAAUGCCUUAAUAGCUCCAAUGCAACUCAUGGUUUUAAUCCUUUUUGCUAUACUUUUCAGAUCAAAUGGCUGUUUUUUUCUUAAGCAAAUGGUAAUGGUGGAUAUGAGGUUCUUAUAUAGUGACUUUAUGGGGGGAAACUAGAGAUAGUAUUCAAAUAAAAGAAAUAGUUUUAAUUGUAUCCUACAAUAGAGACAAUGAUAGUAAAGAAAUAAACAAAAUCACCAAAGAUAAGGUUUUGGAUGGUUUGUUUUUGGUUUCUUUGGAUUUGGGGGAUGAACUCUUCACUAUUUAAAUCCAAUUUAUUGGUUUCUAUUACAUCUUUCCAUGAAAAAUUGAAAUUCUAAUGUGACUUGAGAAGUGGAUUGGCUUGCUCUCCACUUUAUGUUUAAAUUCUUUCCAAGUUUUUUUGUUUUGGGGAUUUGAAGUUUAAGCUCCCUUUAUUUACCAGUAAAAUCUUUGUUUUUAAACUCUGAAAAAUAAUUUACUUUUUUGGUGUUUGGAUGAAUCUAUAUAAAAUAUUUUUUAUUUUUUGACAGAUUUCUUGAAAAUAUUUUCCGGAAAAGCUCUUUUUACAUAUAUUAAUAAAUUCAUAUUUUAAAUUAUUUUUACAUAUAUUGCAAUGAUUUAUUUAUAAAUAAAUAAAUACAAAUGUUUUGCUACAAGUACAUUAGUGAAAAUUGAAAAUAUUGAUCAACCCCUUAAAGGGUUGAAACAGGCCUAAACUCAACAGAUACCGAAUAUCUUCCAAUACCUAAGUUAACAUUCACAUAAACCAUACCAAUUGUAUCAAAUUCGGAGAAAUGUAGUGAUUGUAUUUUACUGGAGCAACAAAAUCAUUUAAUGACAUUAACCGGCAAUGGUCACAUUCACCAACGAAGUGUUGAACAAGACUAACAAAAUUUCAGCUCAAAAGAUAAAAACCAAUCAUAACUGGCAUCAUUAACGCCAUAUCUCAUGUCAUUCAUGCAUCACAGCAUCCUUAUUGUCAAAAUAAUUCCCACAAGUAUAGGAAUUGAUCAAAUUCACUAAGAUAACAAUAACCAAUUCCUCUAGAUAACAUUACCAGCUUUUAAUUGUUAUUUCUUAGCUUGUGAUGUAACGGUGAGCUUGGUAAGUACAAAGCAGUCUGGGAGGGUCAAUGUUUGUGUAAUACUUCUUAAUUGUCUCUGUGAUUUCAAAUCCAAAUUUCUUAUAGAAGUUGAUGGCAUCUUCGUUGUUUGUCUGAACAUGCAAGUAGAUUUCCGGUAUGUUUUGCUUCGAACAGAGAUAAAGAACAUGGUUCAAUAGCCUUGUACCUGCAUAAAUUAAAGAUUUUUAACGAACUAUGGCUUCUAUUUAGAAUCAAUGAGAACAUAAUUUUUCAGCAAAAACAUGCUGAGGCAGUUUAGUUACACUCUACAUUUCUUCAUCGUUGACCUCAUUGCAAUUUGCAAAAGACAACCAUUAUUGUGCCACUGAACAUGUGCAGAUAUUUUAAGAGCGCAAGUGAACCCAGAAGUGAUCCGAUUCAAAUUAUAGGUAUUGAUAAUGUUAAAGGACAAUACUAAGAUCAUCCAAUUAGCAAUUAGUUUCUUGCAUGACCUAUUCCAAGGAAAUGUUGUUUGUCUACUCACCAAUUCCUAGCCCACGAUAUGGUGCUAAAACACCC